UUCCGGUUGAAUCACGUAUUAU
RNAcentral lists this small nuclear RNA (22 nucleotides) under Arabidopsis thaliana (thale cress). RNAcentral's name for it is "snRNA_12533". Lineage: Eukaryota; Viridiplantae; Streptophyta; Magnoliopsida; Brassicales; Brassicaceae. The record is from RNAcentral.